GCUAGUAAUGGCAGGUCAGCAUACUGCCGUGAAUACGUUCCCGGGGCCUUGUACACACCGCCCGUCACACCAUGAGAGUUGGAAAUACCCGAAGCCUGUGAGCUAACAGUAAUGAGGCAGCAGUCGAAGGUAGAGCCAAUGAUUGGGGUGAAGUCGUAACAAGGUACC
This 168-nucleotide ribosomal RNA is filed under the name uncultured bacterium. Its description in RNAcentral is "partial 16S ribosomal RNA". It matches the Rfam family "Bacterial small subunit ribosomal RNA", at positions 1334 to 1500 of the family's 1533-position model. The record is from RNAcentral.